UAAAUAUCUAUGAAGCAGGAAAGGAAUUUGAAUGUAUAGUGCCCUUAGAGACGGAUACAAUGGCACUAUUAAUCCACAGUAAUUACUGCCCUACCUUGUAGCUGGUAGUUUCUAGGACUUGUCAUGAGCCUGCUGAGCACGAGACUAACUCUCUUGUACCUGGUUAGUAUAGAGACAGUGUGCACUACGUGUUCAACAGAGUGCAAGGACUGUCCCGUGAAGCGCAGACAUGCUGUCAAGAAGCCCUUACCUGGACACUGGCUAAUUACACAGGAAUCUCUUCUGGGGCAGCUGCACUUUUGCUAGAAAGGAUGCAGGGCAACACAGCACCUAGGAUGCCAUAUUUUAUAUCGCUGUCCCCUCUCCUCACUUCCUUUGCCAGUACAGAGGUAAGAUUAAGAUAUUUUCCUUCCAGAUCAGUUUCUCACAGUGUGAUACUGUGGGUGGUUUUUAGCAGCGAUGGAUGUGCAGCUUGUAUGUAGGAUCUACAUUUAUGUAAGCCAGCACACAUGAACAGAUCAGCUCUUGUAUUUGCACAUGCAUAAGAGCUGGUUGAAACCAAGUGCUUUUAAGGGAAUUUAUACUGUGCUCUGUACGGUUUGCUAUUGCUGGUGACAUUGCUGGUGUCACUGAUGUCAGACGGUGCUGAUCUAACAGCUCAUACUGCAUUCAUUGAAGUCUCUGUGAAUUAAGGGGUAGGAUGGCUAAAUCAGUCUGUUUUCAGCAUUCUCUGUCUGUUUUUGAGUCUCUGCCACUUACGGAGAUGCUGCGCUGAGGGAAGCUGCUAUCUCACACCACGCACACUGCUGAAAUCACACUGUGCAGUUCAUACCUCCUCGCGUUAUCACCGUGCAAGCCAGGGCUGAGUGUGCGUGUCACUGUUAUGCUGGCAGGGGCAGCGUGCGGCGCAGCGGGAAUUGGGGAAGUCGUGUGAAAGACACGGCUGUGCCAGCACAGGCCCCGCACAGCCCAGCGGGACCUCUGGGGAACGAACCCCUCUGGUGCCGGCAGGGAGGCACGUAGCCGCGCUUCCUAUCCUCGCCCCUGGCGGAUCCGUGGCGGGGUGAGGCUCCUGUCCUCACAGUACAGC
RNAcentral lists this long non-coding RNA (1090 nucleotides) under Gallus gallus (chicken). RNAcentral's name for it is "long non-coding RNA NONGGAT002798". Lineage: Eukaryota; Metazoa; Chordata; Aves; Galliformes; Phasianidae. The record is from RNAcentral.